This 200-nucleotide ribosomal RNA is filed under the name uncultured prokaryote. RNAcentral describes it as "partial 16S ribosomal RNA". It matches the Rfam family "Bacterial small subunit ribosomal RNA", at positions 1183 to 1382 of the family's 1533-position model. The record is from RNAcentral.
CGUCAAAUCAUCAUCGCCCCUUAUGAUCCGGGCUACACACGAACUACAAUGGCGGCUAACAACGGGAAGCGAAAGCGCGAGCUGGAGCAAACCCCAAAAGCCGUCUCAGUUCAGAUUGCAGGCUGCAACUCGCCUGCAUGAAGUCGGAAUUGCUAGUAAUCGCGAAUCAGCAUGUCGCGGUGAAUACGUUCCCGGGCCUU